UGCAGUCGAGCGGACCGACGGGAGCUUGCUCCCUUAGGUCAGCGGCGGACGGGUGAGUAACACGUGGGUAACCUGCCUGUAAGACUGGGAUAACUCCGGGAAACCGGGGCUAAUACCGGAUGCUUGAUUGAACCGCAUGGUUCAAUCAUAAAAGGUGGCUUUUAGCUACCACUUGCAGAUGGACCCGCGGCGCAAUAGCUAGUUGGUGAGGUAACGGCUCACCAAGGCGACGAUGCGUAGCCGACCUGAGAGGGUGAUCGGCCACACUGGGACUGAGACACGGCCCAGACUCCUACGGGAGGCAGCAGUAGGGAAUCUUCCGCAAUGGACGAAAGUCUGACGGAGCAACGCCGCGUGAGUGAUGAAGGUUUUCGGAUCGUAAAACUCUGUUGUUAGGGAAGAACAAGUACCGUUCGAAUAGGGCGGCACCUUGACGGUACCUAACCAGAAAGCCACGGCUAACUACGUGCCAGCAGC
RNAcentral lists this ribosomal RNA (477 nucleotides) under Bacillus licheniformis. Its description in RNAcentral is "bacterial SSU rRNA". It matches the Rfam family "Bacterial small subunit ribosomal RNA", at positions 56 to 515 of the family's 1533-position model. Lineage: Bacteria; Bacillati; Bacillota; Bacilli; Caryophanales; Bacillaceae. The record is from RNAcentral.